AUUGAACGCUGGCGGCAGGCCUAACACAUGCAAGUCGAGCGGUAACAGGGGUAGCUUGCUACCCGCUGACGAGCGGCGGACGGGUGAGUAAUGCAUAGGAAUCUGCCCGGUAGUGGGGGAUAACCUGGGGAAACCCAGGCUAAUACCGCAUACGUCCUACGGGAGAAAGGGGGCUCCGGCUCCCGCUAUUGGAUGAGCCUAUGUCGGAUUAGCUAGUUGGUGAGGUAAAGGCUCACCAAGGCAACGAUCCGUAGCUGGUCUGAGAGGAUGAUCAGCCACAUCGGGACUGAGACACGGCCCGAACUCCUACGGGAGGCAGCAGUGGGGAAUAUUGGACAAUGGGGGCAACCCUGAUCCAGCCAUGCCGCGUGUGUGAAGAAGGCCCUCGGGUUGUAAAGCACUUUCAGCGAGGAAGAACGCCUAGUGGUUAAUACCCAUUAGGAAAGACAUCACUCGCAGAAGAAGCACCGGCUAACUCCGUGCCAGCAGCCGCGGUAAUACGGAGGGUGCAAGCGUUAAUCGGAAUUACUGGGCGUAAAGCGCGCGUAGGUGGCUUGAUAAGCCGGUUGUGAAAGCCCCGGGCUCAACCUGGGAACGGCAUCCGGAACUGUCAGGCUAGAGUGCAGGAGAGGAAGGUAGAAUUCCCGGUGUAGCGGUGAAAUGCGUAGAGAUCGGGAGGAAUACCAGUGGCGAAGGCGGCCUUCUGGACUGACACUGACACUGAGGUGCGAAAGCGUGGGUAGCAAACAGGAUUAGAUACCCUGGUAGUCCACGCCGUAAACGAUGUCGACCAGCCGUUGGGUGCCUAGAGCACUUUGUGGCGAAGUUAACGCGAUAAGUCGACCGCCUGGGGAGUACGGCCGCAAGGUUAAAACUCAAAUGAAUUGACGGGGGCCCGCACAAGCGGUGGAGCAUGUGGUUUAAUUCGAUGCAACGCGAAGAACCUUACCUACCCUUGACAUCUACAGAAGCCGGAAGAGAUUCUGGUGUGCCUUCGGGAACUGUAAGACAGGUGCUGCAUGGCUGUCGUCAGCUCGUGUUGUGAAAUGUUGGGUUAAGUCCCGUAACGAGCGCAACCCUUGUCCUUAUUUGCCAGC
RNAcentral lists this ribosomal RNA (1097 nucleotides) under Halomonas sp. BB6. Its description in RNAcentral is "bacterial SSU rRNA". It matches the Rfam family "Bacterial small subunit ribosomal RNA", at positions 28 to 1122 of the family's 1533-position model. Lineage: Bacteria; Pseudomonadati; Pseudomonadota; Gammaproteobacteria; Oceanospirillales; Halomonadaceae. The record is from RNAcentral. RNAcentral also lists the same sequence under 1 other name.